CUCACACUGUUGGCCCUUCUGACUCUGUGUGCCACGGGAAGAAGCACUGAAAAUGUCUCAGAAAGCAGCCCUGAGAAAGAACAGCUUGUUAUAGCCAGAGGAAAACUUUUGGCUCCCAGUGUAGUGGGAUAAUCCAUAAAAAGAUGCCAGAGCUCUACAAUUUCCUUAUGGAGCGAUGGGCAUUGUAUCACAACCUGGAGUUCGAUUCAGGAGAGGAUAAAACCCCCGCCUGAUCUUCUACAAUGAGAAGGACGAGGAAGUGAAGGGAAAGACAAUGGAAAGAGCAGCAUGAAUAUUCUCAUCAUCUUCUCCUUUUGAGAAGAUCAACAAAAAACAAAAAUCAACCAACCUGACAAGGGGUG
This is a long non-coding RNA of Cyprinus carpio carpio, 362 nucleotides long. Lineage: Eukaryota; Metazoa; Chordata; Actinopteri; Cypriniformes; Cyprinidae. The record is from Ensembl.